RNAcentral lists this ribosomal RNA (164 nucleotides) under Macropanax dispermus. RNAcentral describes it as "5.8S ribosomal RNA". It matches the Rfam family "5.8S ribosomal RNA". Rfam says of the family: 5.8S ribosomal RNA (5.8S rRNA) is a component of the large subunit of the eukaryotic ribosome. It is transcribed by RNA polymerase I as part of the 45S precursor that also contains 18S and 28S rRNA. Lineage: Eukaryota; Viridiplantae; Streptophyta; Magnoliopsida; Apiales; Araliaceae. The record is from RNAcentral.
AACGACUCUCGGCAACGGAUAUCUCGGCUCUCGCAUCGAUGAAGAACGUAGCGAAAUGCGAUACUUGGUGUGAAUUGCAGAAUCCCGUGAACCAUCGAGUCUUUGAACGCAAGUUGCGCCCGAAGCCAUUAGGUUGAGGGCACGUCUGCCUGGGCGUCACGUAU